GACGAACGCUGGCGGCGUGCUUAACACAUGCAAGUCGAACGGAAAGGCCCUGCUUUUGUGGGGUUCUCGAGUGGCGAACGGGUGAGUAACACGUGAGUAACCUGCCCUUGACUUUGGGAUAACUUCAGGAAACUGGGGCUAAUACCGGAUAGGAUCUCCUGCUGCAUUGUGGGGGUUGGAAAGUUUCGGCUGUUGGGGAUGGACUCGCGGCUUAUCAGCUUGUUGGUUGGGUAGGGGCUUACCAAGGCUUUGACGGGUAGCCGGCAUGAGAGGGUGACCGGCCACAAUGGGCCUGAGAGACGGCCCAGACUCCUACGGGAGGCAGCAGUGGGGAAUAUUGCACAAUGGGCGGAAGUCUGAUGAAGAAACGCCGCGUGCGGGAUGACGGCCUUCGGGUUGUAAACAGCUUUCGCCUGUGACGAAGCGUGAGUGACGGUAAUGGGUAAAGAAGCACCGGCUAACUACGUG
RNAcentral lists this ribosomal RNA (468 nucleotides) under uncultured bacterium. RNAcentral describes it as "partial 16S ribosomal RNA". It matches the Rfam family "Bacterial small subunit ribosomal RNA", at positions 28 to 507 of the family's 1533-position model. The record is from RNAcentral.